RNAcentral lists this ribosomal RNA (800 nucleotides) under uncultured archaeon. RNAcentral describes it as "bacterial SSU rRNA". It matches the Rfam family "Archaeal small subunit ribosomal RNA", at positions 81 to 879 of the family's 1478-position model. The record is from RNAcentral.
CCUUACGGCUCAGUAACACGUGGAUAACCUGCCCUUGGGUCCGGCAUAACCCCGGGAAACUGGGGAUAAUUCCGGAUAACGCAUAUAUGCUGGAAUGCUUUAUGCGUCAAAUGGAUUCGUCUGCCCAAGGAUGGGUCUGCGGCCUAUCAGGUAGUAGUGGGUGUAAUGUACCUACUAGCCAACAACGGGUACGGGUUGUGAGAGCAAGAGCCCGGAGAUGGAUUCUGAGACAUGAAUCCAGGCCCUACGGGGCGCAGCAGGCGCGAAAACUUUACAAUGCGGGAAACCGUGAUAAGGGGACACCGAGUGCCAGCAUCAUAUGCUGGCUGUCCGGGUGUGUAAAAUACACCUGUUAGCAAGGGCCGGGCAAGACCGGUGCCAGCCGCCGCGGUAACACCGGCGGCCCGAGUGGUGAUCGUGAUUAUUGGGUCUAAAGGGUCCGUAGCCGGUUUGGUCAGUCUUCCGGGAAAUCUGAUAGCUUAACUAUUAGGCUUUCGGGGGAUACUGCCAGGCUUGGAACCGGGAGAGGUAAGAGGUACUACAGGGGUAGGAGUGAAAUCUUGUAAUCCCUGUGGGACCACCUGUGGCGAAGGCGUCUUACCAGAACGGGUUCGACGGUGAGGGACGAAAGCUGGGGGCACGAACCGGAUUAGAUACCCGGGUAGUCCCAGCCGUAAACGAUGCUCGCUAGGUGUCAGGCAUGGCGCGACCGUGUCUGGUGCCGCAGGGAAGCCGUGAAGCGAGCCACCUGGGAAGUACGGCCGCAAGGCUGAAACUUAAAGGAAUUGGCGGGGGAGCAC